GCUAGGCAUGGUGGCACGUCCCUGUAGUCCUAGCUACUUAGGAGGCUGAGACAGGAGAAUCACUUGAACCCAGGAGUUUCGGGCUGCAGUGAGCUAUGAUUACACCACUGCACUCCAGCCUGGGUGACAGAAUGAGACCCUGUCUCAA
Molecule: unclassified non-coding RNA, 148 nt
Organism: Macaca fascicularis (crab-eating macaque)
Lineage: Eukaryota; Metazoa; Chordata; Mammalia; Primates; Cercopithecidae
Rfam family: Metazoan signal recognition particle RNA
About the family: The signal recognition particle (SRP) is a universally conserved ribonucleoprotein. It is involved in the co-translational targeting of proteins to membranes.
Source: Ensembl